This 544-nucleotide ribosomal RNA is filed under the name uncultured bacterium. RNAcentral describes it as "bacterial SSU rRNA". It matches the Rfam family "Bacterial small subunit ribosomal RNA", at positions 358 to 916 of the family's 1533-position model. The record is from RNAcentral.
GGAAUCUUGCGCAAUGGGCGAAAGCCUGACGCAGCAACGCCGCGUGCGGGAUGAAGGCUUUCGGGCUGUAAACCGCUUUCAGCAGGAACGAAACUGACGGUACCUGCAGAAGAAGGAGCGGCCAACUACGUGCCAGCAGCCGCGGUGACACGUAGGCUCCAAGCGUUGUCCGGAUUUAUUGGGCGUAAAGAGCUCGUAGGCGGUUGAGUAAGUCGGGUGUGAAAACUCUGGGCUUAACCCGGAGACGCCACUCGAUACUGCUCUGACUUGAGUUCAGGAGGGGAGUGGGGAAUUCCUAGUGUAGCGGUGAAAUGCGCAGAUAUUAGGAGGAACACCGGUGGCGAAGGCGCCACUCUGGACUGAAACUGACGCUGAGGAGCGAAAGCAUGGGUAGCAAACAGGAUUAGAUACCCUGGUAGUCCAUGCCGUAAACGGUGGGCACUAGGUGUGGGUUCCAACUAACGGGAUCCGCGCCGUCGCUAACGCAUUAAGUGCCCCGCCUGGGGAGUACGGUCGCAAGACUAAAACUCAAAGGAAUUGACGG